UUUUUUUUUUUUUUUUUUUUUUUGCUUUUUGCUUUUUAGGGACGUACCUGUGGCAUAUGGAAAUACCCAUGCUAGGGGUCGAAUAGGAGCUACAGCCAUUGGCCUACACUACAGCUCAUGGCAACACUGGAUCCCCAACUCACCGAGUGAGGCCAGGGAUUGAACCCUCAUCCUCAUGGAUAAUUUAUGCUGCAGUAUUCUCUGCUUUGGUCACUGUUCUUGGUAUCUUUUCUAUUCUACCCUUUAAGAAAAACAUUUCAAGGUUUCUGGGGUUUGUGUUGGUAGUUUACAGCUUAAAGGAUUUUCUGAUGCCCAUUCUCUUAGCUACACCCAUCAGUAUCAGUGGGUAUGUUUUCAUAUAGCUUGUUUAGACUAAGAAGAUGUUCAUGAAAGUGAAAUGAUUUUCAGGUGCUUUUGAUUCAUGUGAGGAGCACUAGAACAAUAUCUCAAUUCAUGAUACAGAUGCAUAUUUCAAUUCUGAUUCAAGCACUCAAGUUGGUCAAUCCAUAACUUGGAGAAGGUAAAUAGAACUUCUUUUACAUGUAAAGAAAUUGGGUAUCAGAGAAGUAAAACCUGGCUUUGCCUGUACUGAGAUGAAACCAUUUAUAGGCUUUACCUGUGCUACAUAGUGUGAGCAUUCAUUCACUUCACUACAGAAAUAGGUUUAGAUCACAGCAUGCUGCCCCAGAGCCUGCUGGAAACAUUCUAUGAUACACAGUAUCCAUAUGGACCUUACUGCCAUAAACUCUGAAUUCUCAGUCACACCUGGUCCCAAGGAUUUUCAGUAAGGGAUUGUUGACCUAUAGUUAUUUUCUUUCCAGAAUAGUCAUUCAGGCAAUUUGGUACUUAGAAGCAUAAAUAUAGUGAUGAUAUAUUCUAAAUAUUACAGAACAAUUCUGAUUUCCAGAAUUCCUUUUUAACUUGUAGUUUCUGUGCAAGCCACAGGACACGAUUUUAUAUUUUGAAAGUUAUGAAUAUACUUAUUAUUAGACCUACAAUUCAAACCAGUGUGUAAUUGUACACCAUUAGAGAAAAUUAGAAAACAUUUUUUAAAAUUUACGCUGUUCCCCAAAAGCCGAUGACAAUGUCUGGGAAACAACUUGAUUCUACCUUCUAAUUUUCCUUCCCUUUUAUUAACAAAAUCACAACAUGACUAGGUCACAAACCAGUAAAUUGCAUUUGACAGCUGAAUGUCACUGUUACCUGUAGGUAAUGGUCUCUUCUGCCUGGCACAUACACAGUAGGCAUGUACCAAUUAUUUAAUGGAUAAAUAAGUUAAAUUAUAACACUUUCAUGGCUGGCUUAAUCCUGUAAGUAAUAAUUGACUUAUAUUACCUCUUAUCACCUGAUUGUUUUCUCAUGAUUGUUUUUAGCUAGUGAAGUGGUUUCAGACAUUGGAAAGAAGUAGAGUAUUGUUUAUGAAACCAUAGAUGGCCUGGAUGGGAGACUGAAUUGGAAUCCUUGAUUCCCAGUACAGAGAAGGCCCUUGAUAUUUAAGAAUAAAAAUAACAGCUGAGCUUUAUGUCAUGUGUUUAAUGCCAUGACCAUAAAGCCAUUACUGUAACGCCUACGUUUAUUUUCUUAAGGAAGCCGCUGAACCGCCCUCAGAAUGGCUUAGUUUUUAGUGACUAUGGUUUUCCUUUGGGACCUCGAUUCCAAGAAGACGCAGUUUUGUCAAAGGCUCUUUCAUCCUGUUUCUUUAAAAAAAAGUACCCUGCAAUAGGUAAAACAUCUUUAGAUAGAAAAAGUAGUCAGCCUACACCAAAUCUUCCCCUACCUCCUUCCUCUUUCAUUUCCCACUUGUGCUUGUGUACUACUAACUAUAUUGAGGGUACAUGGCCACUAAGGUUUAAGGUUUUUUGAGAGCAGGGGCUGUAUCAUAUUUACUUUCACUUUUCCUUCUGUGCUUAAAACAGGACUUCUACUUCUUCAGCAAAUAUUCGUUGAGUAUCCACUAGGUGUCAGAUAUACUAGGUAGAGUCUGGGGAUACCAAGAUAACUAAACAGGGACACAGGGAGAUGCCCUUUGGAAUCUAACAGUCUUAUGUGGGAGAGGGGAAAAAUGGAUCUGUAAGCCAAAAAAAGCUACAGUAUAAUACUACAGUGGAUAGAUGAUUUCCCGGUUUAAAAAUUCUAAAAUCUCUGAAAAUAUCUCUCCACGAAAUUUGAUUGAGCAACUAAAUUUCUACCACUAGAAUAUUAUUCUUUAUAAGACCAGCGUUGCAUUUUGGUUGCCCCUAAAGGUUAUUAAUGGGCUAUAAAAUGAUAUUUUUCCCCCUCUUAAAACAUUUUAAUUUUUAAAUUUACAUAGUAAGAUUCACUCUUUUUGAUGUAUAAUUCUGAGUUUUCACAAAUGCCAAAUCAUGUAAUAACCAUAAUUGAGAUAUGGAACAGUUCUACCACCUCCCAAAAUUCUCUUGUGCUGCCCCUUUUUAUAAUUUGUUGUGACAAAAAAUAAUUUUAUUCUUCAAAAAUUAUUGUUUGAAUGUUCCAUGUAUUCAAAAAAAAAUAUGUGGCGUUCCCGCUGUGGCACAGUGCAUUCAGAAUUCAACAGCAGGGAGUUCUCGUGGCACAGCAGAAACAAAUCCUACUAGUAUGCGUAAGAAUGCUGAUUUGAUCCCUGGCCUCACUCUAGCAUUGCCGUGAACUGUGGUGUAGGUCACAAAUUCGGCUCGAAUCCCACAUUGCUGUGGCUGUGGUGUAGGUGGAUUUGCCCCCUGGCCUGGGAACUUACAUA
Molecule: long non-coding RNA, 2737 nt
Filed under: Sus scrofa (pig)
Lineage: Eukaryota; Metazoa; Chordata; Mammalia; Artiodactyla; Suidae
Description: lncRNA (multiple genes)
Source: RNAcentral